This 316-nucleotide ribosomal RNA is filed under the name Rhipicephalus sanguineus (brown dog tick). Its description in RNAcentral is "partial 16S ribosomal RNA". The record is from RNAcentral. Lineage: Eukaryota; Metazoa; Arthropoda; Arachnida; Ixodida; Ixodidae.
AUUUUUUAAAUUGCCGUGGUAUUUUGACUAUACAAAGGUAUUGAAAUAAGAUUUUAAUUGAAUGCUAAGAGAAUGGAAGUCCAGGAAAAAAACUUUUUUUAAAUUAAAAAUUGAAGUUUUUUUAAUUGGUGCAGAAACAAUUAUUUAUAUUAAAGACAAGAAGACCCUAUGAAUUUAUUAAAUUUUUAUUUAAUAUGUAAUUACUAUUAGAAAAAUUUUGGCUGGGGCGGCUAGAAAAUAUUAUGAACUUUUUAAAAAUAAAAUGAUCCAUUAUUAAUGAUUUUAUGUUAAAUACUCUAGGGAUACGGGCGGUAAA